GACGAACGCUGGCGGCGUGCUUAACACAUGCAAGUCGAACGGAAAGGCCCUGCUUGCAGGGUACUCGCGUGGCGAACGGGUGAGUAACACGUGGGUGAUCUGCCCUGCACUUCGGGAUAAGCCUGGGAAACUGGGUCUAAUACCGGAUAGGAGCCAUUUUUAGUGUGAUGGUUGGAAAGUUUUUUCGGUGUAGGAUGAGCUCGCGGCCUAUCAGCUUGUUGGUGGGGUAAUGGCCUACCAAGGCGGCGACGGGUAGCCGGCCUGAGAGGGUGGACGGCCACAUUGGGACUGAGAGACGGCCCAGACUCCUACGGGUGGCAGCAGUGGGGAAUAUUGCACAAUGGGCGCAAGCCUGAUGCAGCGACGCCGCGGGGGGGAUGACGGCCUUCGGGUUGUAAACUCCUUUCGCUAGGGACGAAGCUUUUUGUGACGGUACCUAGAUAAGAAGCACCGGCUAACUACGUG
Molecule: ribosomal RNA, 465 nt
Filed under: uncultured bacterium
Lineage: Bacteria
Description: partial 16S ribosomal RNA
Rfam family: Bacterial small subunit ribosomal RNA
Source: RNAcentral